RNAcentral lists this ribosomal RNA (497 nucleotides) under uncultured bacterium. RNAcentral's name for it is "partial 16S ribosomal RNA". It matches the Rfam family "Bacterial small subunit ribosomal RNA", at positions 28 to 507 of the family's 1533-position model. The record is from RNAcentral.
GAUGAACGCUGGCGGCGUGUCUAAUACAUGCAAGUCGAGCGAACAGAUAAGGAGCUUGCUCCUUUGACGUUAGCGGCGGACGGGUGAGUAACACGUGGGUAACCUACCUAUAAGACUGGAAUAACUCCGGGAAACCGGGGCUAAUGCCGGAUAACAUGUUGAACCGCAUGGUUCUACAGUGAAAGGCGGCUUUGCUGUCACUUAUAGAUGGACCCGCGCCGUAUUAGCUAGUUGGUGAGGUAACGGCUCACCAAGGCAACGAUACGUAGCCGACCUGAGAGGGUGAUCGGCCACACUGGAACUGAGACACGGUCCAGACUCCUACGGGAGGCAGCAGUAGGGAAUCUUCCGCAAUGGGCGAAAGCCUGACGGAGCAACGCCGCGUGAGUGAUGAAGGUCUUCGGAUCGUAAAACUCUGUUAUUAGGGAAGAACAAAUGCGUAAGUAACUGUGCGCGUCUUGACGGUACCUAAUCAGAAAGCCACGGCUAACUACGUG